Molecule: long non-coding RNA, 1609 nt
Filed under: Sorghum bicolor (sorghum)
Lineage: Eukaryota; Viridiplantae; Streptophyta; Magnoliopsida; Poales; Poaceae
Description: long non-coding RNA (SBIC_LNC009312)
Source: RNAcentral
AUAAAGAGUAUUAUUAUUAUUAUGUCUUGUGUGUCUCUACUUUAUUUUUGUGCAAGAAAGCAGAAAACAAGUAUGGGGGAGAUCCCUCGACAUGCCAAACACACUCUGACUACACCACUCCACGAUUCAGGUACACACUCUGCACACUUUAUGUUACAUAUAUAUAUAUAUAUAUUGGAUUAUGCAGAUUAUUGUUUCCGACAUGAUAAAAUAAAAAGAUUAAAAUAUUUCUAAUCAUGAUUAAUCUCACUCUGUGAUAUUUCCUGAAAACUUGCAAUUAUUAUAACUCAUUUUAAAACCCUGUGUUACUUAAGUCAAUAUGGAAUAUGUGAUGGUAGAGUAUGAGUUUCUUAUUCUUGAUAUCAUUGUUGCUUGGAGAAUUUAUUUCAAAAUAUUCAAAAUUCUAGCUACCAUCCUCAGUGUUUUAUAUCCCUGAUAAAACUGAAAAUAUUAAUUAUGAUUAUAAAGCUAUCUACUCUGUAUUGAAUUUGUUCAAAAUGAGUUAGACCCUUGUUGAGAGAUUUAUAAUGCUCCCAAGAUCAAGACAUUAUUUCAAAAAGAUUCACUCUUCCGAAGUAUUAUUGCAUUAGAGGCAUGGGCUAUGGAAAAAUAGAAGUAUUUUGAGGAAAUAAAAAGGAGCAAGUGCUCGACAACCUCGCAGAAAAAAUGGACAAGUGUCCGGCAGUAGAAUUAGGGGUACCUUGGUAUCCACAUAAAAAAAAGAGAGAAAAGAGAAAAAAAUGAUAGCCCAUGGUCCCUCUAAUAAGCAAUAUGCCAGUAAGAGUUGACAAAGAUUUUUAAUUUCCAAAGUCUUUGAUCUAAGAGUAUGACAUUCCCCUCCUCGGAUCCCGUUUUGAUCAGGCAAUAAAUGCAAUGUAAGUAUGCUUGAGAAUUUUUGCAAAAAUAAAACAACCUCAGUGAGAUAUAUAUAAAAGAUAAUGAGUGAUCUGAGAGAACCUAUGAGGAUAAAAAGGUAUGCUAAUUUUCUUUCAAAAAAAAUAUACAAAAACUCCAAGUGACAGGAUUGAGAAGAAAGGAUCUUUACUCUUAAUCAUAAACUUCCCUGACUAUGGUACACAGUGGAAUUUUAACACCCUGCAAAUAUAAAGAGAAUGUUUUAAAUGUUUACCCCAGGUAUUGUUCUUAACCAUCCUUUUCUCGAGGACGAGUAAAAGCCUAAGUAUGGGGGUAUUUAUUGACGGUUCUUAAGUAUCAAUUUUAAUUAUCAAAUAAACAAGAGAAAGGACCAAUAUGCAACCAACACCUAGAAUUAGGGUUUGAUCUGACAGAAUUCCACGAGUUUUGUUGUUUAUCUGUUUCUGCAGGGGGUUAUCAAGAAAUAAGGAAGAAAGGCCCACAUGUCGGGAUUACAUAGAGAUAUCAACGCACCGCGCGAUUUUCCACCAUCUAGAAGACUCCAGAAGCCACGGGAAGAAGACGGAGGCCGACAGGGGCCAGGCCCAGGGCGCCCGCCCCCUGCUGGAUGUCAAUCAGGACUCUCUUCGCACGGGAUGUUCCACCGACCUAUUGGAUCAAGAAAAACAUAGUACCACCUCACCUAUCGACCCAAAAAUGCAUAGAAGGGGAGGACUAUAUAAGGAGACCCCCC